UUUUUUUUUUUUAAAGACUUUAUUUAUUUAUUCAUGAGAGACACAGAAGGAGAGAGAGAGGAAGAAACACAGGCAGAGGGAGAAGCAGGCUCCAUGCAGGGAGCCCGGUGUGGGACUCGAUCCCGGGUCUCCAGGAUCACACCCUGGGCUGAAGGCAAUGCUAAACCUCUGAGCCACGGGGCUGCCCAACUUUUAUUCCUUUUAUAUUAAAACUAACUGGCUCAGAAGGUUUUUAAAGUAUCAAGCGCUAUGCUUAAACUGAAAAUAUUUCUUAAUAUAUUUUUAUCUUGAAAUAAUAAAAAUUAAGGACAUUAAAAGGAAAUUUCUUCAUGUAUGGUUGAACAGCUUAUAAAAGCAUCUAUGGAUCACUGUAUUCUAAAUUCAGCUUACUCAUCACUUUCCUUCAAUGACACUAUCAUUGAAGAACAAAGACCAGGAGCAACUAAUUUUAACUUCCUCCAGAGUACUUUCUGUUAAAGCCUCUGAAUUUCCUGAUCCAGUAGAAAGAAGUCUGCCAUCUAUGUUUUCCAUUCCAAGAGUGUCAAUUACAUUAUAAAACCUGUUAAAGAGCAUAGGAUUACUAGCUAGGACAUUUAGAAACAAAUUUGUAUCUGUAAGGAUUGCAGUCCCAACAGAGUGCUAAUCCCAUUACCUAAGGAAAGGUUUGAGGUUGACUCUCUAAAUGGAUUGUAAGAGGCAGGCAAUCACUGGUGCCUCUCAAACAUGUUCUCUGCAAAGGGCACCAAGAGCUCGCAGUGGCUUCAAAUGUUUUCUCAUUGCAGAAUUUCUUUUUAAAAAUUGACCUUAUAUCUAUAGAGUCAAAAAAGCUUCCCUUAUUUUAUGCCAAAUACACCAACAAAACAAUUUAAAUUGUAAUUAAUUAUGGCACACUGUAAAUGAUGAAAAAAUCCUGGACAUCCAUUCCUCUUUUAAAGUCUCCUGCAUCAGAGAGCUAAAAAAUUACAUACAGAGGGGACAUUAUGUCUUCAGGAAGAAAGCUGCUCAUUCUACAUAAAUUCUUAGUUUAAAAAUUACUCUAAUUUACAAGGAAGUGUGAGCAGUAACAAAUCUUCAAGUGAAAAUAAGGACCUACUAGAAUAGACUUCAAAUAUCUUAAAAUAAAAUUUUAUGACAUUAUUUUAAAUCUCCAGAGGACAAUAGAUUUGUAGACACUUAGCAAAAAUAGUAAGUUAUAAUAGCAAGUAACAUUUCUGAAGCUUCCUACUUUGUAAUAGUUUGCAAAUACUGGAUUUUUUUCUUUAUUUUAAAUCAUGAAAAACAUGGUUUUAUUGGGUUAAGUAAUUUAUCCAAAACUACAAUUCCAGAAAGCACUAAAGUGAGAAUUCAAAUCCAGGCUUUGCUAUUCAUAAAAUCAUUUUCACAAUCUCAUCUCUCAUAAGACUCUAACCCUAGAAAGUGGUUUAUUCCCAUAUUUACCCUUAUUACCUGUGGUGUGAAAUUGAGACUCAAAGAAGUUCCAUGACUUGGUCAAGUUCACACAGCCUAUACUCUUGGAACUUGAAUUCUGGGCUACAUUAAACGGGUCUCCUGGCACCACUUUAGAUGGUCUUUCUAGCAUAUCAUGCUGCUGUUAAAAUCUGGCAUUAGAUAUUUGAUCUCUUACAAAAGCAAACAGUAAAUGGCCAGGUUCCUAUUAAACAUGCCAUUGAUUCUCUUCUGAUUCUGUUCUCUUAAACUAUUAAGGAUAUAUUUGAUUUAGGUAAUAUUUAAUUCCUUACCCAAGGCUUAGAUCUAAAUUUUGCAAUGUUGAACAAAAGAUAACAGCAUUACAGAAUCUAAAAACCACUUGUAUCUAGGGAGAUCCAUUAUCUGAGGUUUCUUCUCAGAAGUCCUAUACGGGAAGGUUUGAUAUUUAAAAUAAAAUUAUUAGCCAUUUAAUUCACAUAUUUGAGGAUGGCUUAAAUUAGAUCCUUACAUUUUCUGUUAACUUGCACAAGAGGCUGACAUGUUACCAGUCGGGAGCCUGAGGGCUCCCAAAGAGCAUCAUUGCUCAAGAAGAAAAAGCAUUUGCUCUCCAGCUGUUGAGCUUCUUGAGCCUUAGAAAGCCCACAGAGGCCUUCUGUCAAAUAGGUACCCGUAUCGGUAGUGGGUAAUUUCUUAUUCCUGACCAUUUCAGCAUCUGACGCAGUCUGAAGAAGUCUAACUUGCCAUCCAGACAUAGGUUUUUAGAUCAGCAACAAUAUGCUAACUAUAUUUAACUACAUGGACUAGAACACAAAAGUGUUUGUUUUUAAAAAGCCCUUAUUCCAUAAAGUUUAUAUUUCUUAAUAAAAGGAUAAGGUCAAAAGGGCUCAUAAAAUUUUAAGCAUUUAUUUCAACUCCCAUAAAACUGUAUUUAACAAUUCUAAAGCUUCCUUUUCCUUGUGGAAGAUAAAAAAAACAUUUAGCAGGUAUUAAGCAGGAAGCAUUCCGACUUCACCGAUACAGUGGUUACAGCAAAACGGUAAACUUAAUAACAGGAAAAGUAUCCAGAUGCCAGCUAUCACAGUUAUAUAUGGCACCAAUUAAUUACACUCAGCUUUUUAAUAUCGUAAGUGUUGGGAAAAUAUUUAAAGACUAAAACUUGGAGGAUUCUAUAUUUGGUGUGAGGGAGUUUAAAUACACAGUGACUAUUC
Molecule: long non-coding RNA, 2636 nt
Filed under: Canis lupus familiaris (dog)
Lineage: Eukaryota; Metazoa; Chordata; Mammalia; Carnivora; Canidae
Description: lncRNA (ENSCAFG00000053671.1)
Source: RNAcentral